Lycium barbarum (goji berry) is the source of this 2600-nucleotide long non-coding RNA. RefSeq lists it as uncharacterized. The record is from RefSeq and is a predicted model, not a curated record. The transcript is spliced from 3 exons. Lineage: Eukaryota; Viridiplantae; Streptophyta; Magnoliopsida; Solanales; Solanaceae.
AGUAAAUGACCGUACCUGUCGGGAGUCCAAUUUAACGGAGGUAGCAAAAAUAAUUGGUUGCACUAAAAUUAUAAGAAUCGGGUGUAAUCACAAAAAUAUUGAAGUGAACAACAAUUAAUGAUGAACUCCAUGAUUCAAAACUUUCACUUUACUCUUUUGAGAUCUUACCCUUUUAUUCUGUACACAUGUACUGAUCUACACCAAAUAUUUUUAUGCAAGAUAAAGAGCUUGUGAUUUAUGUCCUCCUUGUAAGUUCCGGCGCCAAAAUGGCACCUUUUUGGACGUUGAAGAAAAAAUGGUACGUCUUCUUUCUUUUAUACCAAAAGGGGCAUUUCGUUGGUUAUCCAACGAAAUGUUAACCCCAUUUAACAUUUUCCGUCAAAUGUUAAAAAAAACAAAAUGCAUUUCGUAACAUAGUUGGCGAAAUGCAAUAUUUUUUUUUAAUUUUUUUUUUAACAUUUGACACCAAAAUGUUAGCUGGUGUCAAAUGUUUUUUAAAAAAAAAUUGCAUUUAGCCACAUACCUGGCGAAAUGCAAUUUUUUUUUUUUUUUUUGUACAUUUGACACCAAAUGUUAAAAAAAAAAAUUGUAUUUCGUUACAUACUUGGCGUGUUAUUUUUUUAAUCCUUUAUUUUGAAUAUAAAUCUAAUUCAAUUAGAUAAAAACAUAGUUAAAAGAUAUAGGAGAAAGAGUAGUUGUAAAUUGGUGAAAGAGUAGUUGAAAAUUGGUGAAACUUUAGACAGUCAUAACUUUGCGCUCGGAUAUCCGAUUUAUGCAAAAAAAAAUUUGAUUUUGCAUAUUUUUUCGAGAUCUAGCCGUGCAAACUGCCGUAAGGCGGUUUGGCCGGGCCGAUUUUCUAGAAAACCUCUUUUUUCCCUUCCAAUUUUAAUUUCCCCCCAAAUUGGCGGGAAAUUUUCAGUUUUCUUUACUUAUAAUAUGAUGAUGCGCAAUAGACACAUAAAAAUUUCGGAGUAAUGUAGCUGUGAAUGUCAAUUUCACUUAUGUGGUUUCAAUUUUUGAAAAUAAAGCUGACUAAUUUUCUCGACAUAUAAAGUUCGAUAAUAACCUUACAAAAAUAUAACACUUAAACCUAAAGUUUCCAAAACUACUGCAGUAAAAUACUGCUUUAUACAAAAAAUAAUCUAUAACGUGUGUUUUUUUUCUAAGUUUCCUAAAAUAAAAUUAUGAAAAUAUAAAUUUUUGAUGCAAUUUUAUUCUACUAUACCCAAUUUUUUUUAAUUGUUUUUAGAAACCUAGCGAAAUACAAAAAAAAAAAAAAAUUGUAUUGCAUUUCGUUACAUAAAUGGCGAAAUGCAAUAACGCAGUAAAAAAAAAAAUUGCACUUCGCCAUGUAUGUAACGAAAUGCAAUACAAUUUUUAUUUUUUUUUGUAUUUCGCUAGUUUUCUAAAAAAAAAAAAAAAAAAAAAAAUUGGGUAUAGUAGAAUAAAAUUGCAUCAAAAAUUUAUAUUUUCAUAAUUUUAUUUUAGGAAACUUAGAAAAAAAACACACGUUACAGAUUAUUUUUUGUAUAAAGCAGUAUUUUACUGCAGUAAUUUUGGAAACUUUAGGUUUAAGUGUUAUAUUUUUGUAAGGUUAUUAUAGAACUUUAUAUGUCGAGAAAAUUAGUCAGCUUUAUUUUCAAAAAUUGAAACCACAUAAGUGAAAUUGACAUUCACAGCUACAUUACUCCGAAAUUUUUAUGUGUCUAUUGCGCAUCAUAUUAUAAGUAAAGAAAACUGAAAAUUUCCCGCCAAUUUGGGGGUAAAUUAAAAUUGGAAGGGAAAAAAGAGGUUUUCUAGAAAAUCGGCCCGGCCAAACCGCCUUAUGGCAGUUUGCACGGCUAGAUCUCGAAAAAAUAUGCAAAAUCAAAAAAACAUUGCAUAAAUCGGAUAUCCGAGCGCAAAGUUAUGACUGUCUAAAGUUUCACCAAUUUUCAACUACUCUUUCACCAAUUUACAACUACUCUUUCUCCUAUAUCUUUUAACUAUGUUUUUAUCUAAUUGAAUUAGAUUUAUAUUCAAAAUAAAGGAUUAAAAAAAUAACACGCCAGGUAUGUAACGAAAUGCAAUUUGUUUUUUAACAUUUGGUGUCAAAUGUACAAAAAAAAAAAUGCAUUUCGCCAGGUAUGUGGCGAAAUGCAAUUUUUUUAAAAAAAAACAUUUGACACCAGCUAACAUUUUGGUGUCAAAUGUUAAAAAAAAAAAAAAAAAAAAUAUUGCAUUUCGCCAACUAUGUUACGAAAUGCAUUUUUUUUUUUUAACAUUUGACGAAAAAUAUUAAAUAGGGUUAACAUUUCGUUGGAUAACCAACGAAAUGCCCCUUUUGGUAUAAAAGAAAGAAGACGUACCAUUUUUGUCUUCAACGUCAAAAAAGGUGCCAUUUUGGCGCCGGACUCUUACUUUUCAUCAUAUAUUGCUAUUACUUUUGUUGCAAAAGCGGAAAGAUUUUCUUUAAAUGCAACAAAAUGACGCCUCGAACAAGUCUGAGAUCAAAAGAUCACAAUAUCAAGAAGAAUGGCAAGGCAGCAUGUCAAAAUGCCAGCCACAACUGUCGAUUUACUGAUUGGAGAGGUGGGAGCUGCAUCAGCUGUAGACUCAUU